Molecule: ribosomal RNA, 321 nt
Filed under: uncultured Cenococcum
Lineage: Eukaryota; Fungi; Ascomycota; Dothideomycetes; Gloniales; Gloniaceae
Description: eukaryotic LSU rRNA
Rfam family: Eukaryotic large subunit ribosomal RNA
Source: RNAcentral
UUGACCUCGGAUCAGGCAGGGAUACCCGCUGAACUUAAGCAUAUCAAUAAGCGGAGGAAAAGAAACCAACAGGGAUUGCCUCAGUAACGGCGAGUGAAGCGGCAACAGCUCAAAUUUGAAAUCUGGCUCUUUUAGGGUCCGAGUUGUAAUUUGUAGAGAUGCUUCGGCGUCGGCUCCGGUCUAAGUUCCUUGGAACAGGACGUCAUAGAGGGUGAGAAUCCCGUAUGUGAUCGGUUGCCUUGCCAUGUGAAGCUCCUUCGACGAGUCGAGUGUUGGGAUGCAGCUCUAAAUGGAGGUAAAUUCUCUAAGCUAAAUACUGCC